UUGACCUCGAAUCAGGUAGGACUACCCGCUGAACUUAAGCAUAUCAAYAAGGAAAAAAG
RNAcentral lists this ribosomal RNA (59 nucleotides) under Cordyceps gunnii. RNAcentral describes it as "partial 26S ribosomal RNA". Lineage: Eukaryota; Fungi; Ascomycota; Sordariomycetes; Hypocreales; Cordycipitaceae. The record is from RNAcentral.